RNAcentral lists this ribosomal RNA (254 nucleotides) under uncultured bacterium. RNAcentral describes it as "partial 16S ribosomal RNA". It matches the Rfam family "Bacterial small subunit ribosomal RNA", at positions 524 to 776 of the family's 1533-position model. The record is from RNAcentral.
CACGUAGGCACCAAGCGUUGUCCGGAUUUAUUGGGCGUAAAGAGCUCGUAGGCGGUUGAGUAAGUCGGGUGUGAAAACUCUGGGCUUAACCCAGAGCCGCCACUCGAUACUGCUCUGACUUGAGUACGGUAGGGGAACAGGGAAUUCCUAGUGUAGCGGUGAAAUGCGCAGAUAUUAGGAGGAACACCGGUGGCGAAGGCGCUGCUCUGGGCCGAAACUGACGCUGAGGAGCGAAAGCGUGGGUAGCAAACAGG